RNAcentral lists this ribosomal RNA (460 nucleotides) under uncultured bacterium. Its description in RNAcentral is "partial 16S ribosomal RNA". It matches the Rfam family "Bacterial small subunit ribosomal RNA", at positions 338 to 795 of the family's 1533-position model. The record is from RNAcentral.
CCUACGGGUGGCAGCAGUGAGGAAUAUUGGUCAAUGGGCGCAAGCCUGAACCAGCCAAGUCGCGUGAGGGAUGACGGUCCUAUGGAUUGUAAACCUCUUUUGUCGGGGAGCAAGGCCCGCCACGUGUGGCGGGAAGGAGAGUACCCGAAGAAAAAGCAUCGGCUAACUCCGUGCCAGCAGCCGCGUUAAUACUGAGACUUCGAGCGUUAUCCGGUGUUAUUGGGGUAUAAGGGGGCAGAGUGGGAAGGUUAAGGCAACGGUAAAAUGGCGGUGCUAAUCACCGGCCUGACGUUGAAACUGGUCUUGUUGAGUGAGCGAGAGGUAAGCGGAAUGCGUGGUGUAGCGGUGAAAUGCAUAGAUAUCACGCAGAACACCGAUGGCGAAGGCAGCAUACCGGCGCUCAACUGACGCUGAGGCACGAAAGCGUGGGGAUCGAACAGGAGUAGAUACCCCAGUAGUC